AACACUGUUAACCUGCGGUACCUGCGGAAGGAUCAUUACAGAGUUCGUGCCCUCGCGGGUAGAUCUCCCACCCUUGUGUAUUUUCUACAUCUUGUUGCUUUGGCAGGCCGUUGGUUCGCCAACCACCGGCUCGCGGGCUGGUGCGUGCCUGCCAGAGGACCUCUCAAACUCGGUUUGUUAGUGUCGUCUGAGUACCAUAACAAUCGUUAAAACUUUCAACAACGGAUCUCAGAUCGGAAG
RNAcentral lists this unclassified non-coding RNA (240 nucleotides) under soil metagenome. RNAcentral's name for it is "partial contains 5.8S ribosomal RNA, internal transcribed spacer 2, and large subunit ribosomal RNA". The record is from RNAcentral.